RNAcentral lists this long non-coding RNA (229 nucleotides) under Elaeis guineensis (African oil palm). Its description in RNAcentral is "long non-coding RNA (EGUI_LNC019268)". Lineage: Eukaryota; Viridiplantae; Streptophyta; Magnoliopsida; Arecales; Arecaceae. The record is from RNAcentral.
UGUGGAGUUGGAUUAAGCUAUUACAAAAAUAACUAAUACCACACCAGCUAAUAUUUUGUUAACAAAUUAUGAGUAUUUGAUUUAGAAUAUGCUUUUCAUCCACAUAAAAGAUAGGAAUUUUUAUUUUUAUAGUCUUACAAAUACUCUUCACUCAAGAUCAUGGAAUUCAAUAUUAGAUUAAAUGCAUAUAUUGUGCAUCAUUCAACUUUGAAACAUGUGAACAUAGCCA